AGUGAACGCUGGCGGUAGGCCUAACACAUGCAAGUCGAACGGCAGCACAGUAAGAGCUUGCUCUUACGGGUGGCGAGUGGCGGACGGGUGAGGAGUACAUCGGAAUCUUCUUUUUCGUGGGGGAUAACGUAGGGAAACUUACGCUAAUACCGCAUACGACCUACGGGUGAAAGCAGGGGAUCUUCGGACCUUGCGCGAUUGAAUGAGCCGAUGUCGGAUUAGCUAGUUGGCGGGGUAAAGGCCCACCAAGGCGACGAUCCGUAGCUGGUCUGAGAGGAUGAUCAGCCACACUGGAACUGAGACACGGUCCAGACUCCUACGGGAGGCAGCAGUGGGGAAUAUUGGACAAUGGGCGCAAGCCUGAUCCAGCCAUACCGCGUGGGUGAAGAAGGCCUUCGGGUUGUAAAGCCCUUUUGUUGGGAAAGAAAAGCAGCAGGUUAAUACCCCGCUGUUCUGACGGUACCCAAAGAAUAAGCACCGGCUAACUUCGUG
RNAcentral lists this ribosomal RNA (492 nucleotides) under uncultured bacterium. RNAcentral's name for it is "partial 16S ribosomal RNA". It matches the Rfam family "Bacterial small subunit ribosomal RNA", at positions 29 to 507 of the family's 1533-position model. The record is from RNAcentral.